UGAAGAGUUUGAUCAUGGCUCAGAUUGAACGCUGGCGGCAGGCCUAACACAUGCAAGUCGAACGGUAACAGGAAGCAGCUUGCUGCUUUGCUGACGAGUGGCGGACGGGUGAGUAAUGUCUGGGAAACUGCCUGAUGGAGGGGGAUAACUACUGGAAACGGUGGCUAAUACCGCAUAACGUCGCAAGACCAAAGAGGGGGACCUUCGGGCCUCUUGCCAUCAGAUGUGCCCAGAUGGGAUUAGCUUGUUGGUGAGGUAACGGCUCACCAAGGCGACGAUCCCUAGCUGGUCUGAGAGGAUGACCAGCCACACUGGAACUGAGACACGGUCCAGACUCCUACGGGAGGCAGCAGUGGGGAAUAUUGCACAAUGGGCGCAAGCCUGAUGCAGCCAUGCCGCGUGUAUGAAGAAGGCCUUCGGGUUGUAAAGUACUUUCAGCGGGGAGGAAGGUGUUGUGGUUAAUAACCGCAGCAAUUGACGUUACCCGCAGAAGAAGCACCGGCUAACUCCGUGCCAGCAGCCGCGGUAAUACGGAGGGUGCAAGCGUUAA
Molecule: ribosomal RNA, 550 nt
Filed under: Salmonella enterica subsp. enterica serovar Typhi
Lineage: Bacteria; Pseudomonadati; Pseudomonadota; Gammaproteobacteria; Enterobacterales; Enterobacteriaceae
Description: bacterial SSU rRNA
Rfam family: Bacterial small subunit ribosomal RNA
Source: RNAcentral